GCAAACUUGGUCAUUUAGAGGAAGUAAAAGUCGUAACAAGGUCUCCGUUGGUGAACCAGCGGAGGGAUCAUUAUAGAGUUUUUAACUCCCAAACCCAUGUGAACUUACCUUUGUUGCCUCGGCGGAGCCUACCCGGUACCUACCCUGUAGCGCCCCGCCGGUGGACUUCUAAACUAUUGUUAUUUUAAUGAUAUCUGAGAGUCUUAUUUUAAUAAGUCAAAACUUUCAACAACGGAUCUCUUGGUUCUGGCAUCGAUGAAGAACGCAGC
This 269-nucleotide unclassified non-coding RNA is filed under the name uncultured fungus. RNAcentral describes it as "partial contains small subunit ribosomal RNA, internal transcribed spacer 1, and 5.8S ribosomal RNA". The stretch from base 1 to 73 matches the Rfam family "Eukaryotic small subunit ribosomal RNA", at positions 1759 to 1831 of the family's 1831-position model. The record is from RNAcentral. Lineage: Eukaryota; Fungi.